Molecule: ribosomal RNA, 248 nt
Filed under: uncultured bacterium
Lineage: Bacteria
Description: partial 16S ribosomal RNA
Rfam family: Bacterial small subunit ribosomal RNA
Source: RNAcentral
UGGGUAACCUGCCUCAAAGAGGGGAAUAGCCUCCCGAAAGGGAGAUUAAUACCGCAUAAUAUGUUUAGGUCGCAUGACUUUAACAUCAAAGGAUUUUCUUUUAGAAAUUCCACUUUGAGAUGGACCCGCGGCGCAUUAGCUAGUUGGUGAGGUAACGGCUCACCAAGGCAACGAUGCGUAGCCGGCCUGAGAGGGUGACCGGCCACACUGGGACUGAGACACGGCCCAGACCUCCGUACGGGGAGCAG